This 205-nucleotide long non-coding RNA is filed under the name Mytilus galloprovincialis (Mediterranean mussel). The record is from RNAcentral. Lineage: Eukaryota; Metazoa; Mollusca; Bivalvia; Mytilida; Mytilidae.
CGUUCUUUUUAUCUUGUUGAUGAGCCAAGUCUCCGUGUUGAAGGCCAUACUUUGACCUACAAUUGUUUACUUUUUACAUAUUUUGACUUGGAUAGAGAGCUGUCUCAUUGACACUAAUACCACAUCUUCAUCUUUCAUUGUAUUCAAUAUUCAAAUAUCAUGUGAGUGAAACAUACAUGUAUACAGGAGGAAUUGAUCCUAUCUU